UACAGAGGUGGCGAGCGUUGUUCGGAUUUACUGGGCGUAAAGGGUGCGUAGGUGGUUCCGUAUGUCGGAUGUGAAAUCCCACUGCUCAACGGUGGAACGGCAUUCGAAACUGUGGAACUAGAGUACAGGAGAGGAGAGCGGAAUUCUUGGUGUAGCGGUGAAAUGCGUUGAUAUCAAGAAGAACACCGGUGGCGAAGGCGGCUCUCUAGAAUGUAACUGACACUGAGGCACGAAAGCUGGGGGAG
RNAcentral lists this ribosomal RNA (245 nucleotides) under uncultured bacterium. RNAcentral's name for it is "partial 16S ribosomal RNA". It matches the Rfam family "Bacterial small subunit ribosomal RNA", at positions 524 to 768 of the family's 1533-position model. The record is from RNAcentral.